This 2154-nucleotide long non-coding RNA is filed under the name Nicotiana benthamiana. Its description in RNAcentral is "long non-coding RNA (NBEN_LNC004098)". The record is from RNAcentral. Lineage: Eukaryota; Viridiplantae; Streptophyta; Magnoliopsida; Solanales; Solanaceae.
AUGCUUGUCGGUAAUUUUAUCCAAUUUACACGCUGAUGCGCCGAGGGUGCUCGGUAAAAUGACUAAAUCAACUCAAUUUCUUUUAGUUUUCUCAUUUUCUUUCCGUUCUUAUUUGGGUGUGUCUAUGUUUCUGGUGAGCUUCUGUUACUUCCUUUUUUCCCUCUCUCCAGUCUCCAAUUAUUAUUUAAUUUUAGAGUUUUUUUUUGUCUAAAUCCUAUUUGAGUUGAGAGGUGUAUAAUUUAGAUCAUAUUUCUUCUCUUAGGUAGUGGUUUUUAAAUGUUGGUUACUAUUAUGCUAACGUUAUCUUUUUAUUAAAAAAUGGGUGCAAUUUUGAGCUUUAAUUUCCUUCUGCUCUAUUUUUACUUCUUUUUGCUUCUUCUUUUUGUUUUUUUUCCUUUCUUAAUUCUUUUACCCCGUUCUGCCCGUGUCUAUUCUGAUUUAUCAAGAAUUUUGCAGAUGGCUUUUCCAGUGGUCGGAGCAUUACUAUGUCUUUGCUCCCAUUUGCCUCGAGAGUCGUUCCACUAAAUACCUCAAUGUAAGUAACUAGAUAAGUAUUCCAUAAAAAGAGUUGGGCUUCAAGAAAAUAUCACCGCCAAGCAAAAAAGAUUGAGUUACAUCCUCAGUUAUUAUAACGAUGUGUUCGCUGGUGUUUAAAAAAGGGUAAAACUUCUGCUGCCAUGAUUACUACUCACCUUGACUAUGUGUAAAUCUUGAUUUGUUAUGCCAUUUUGCUGGAAUUAUCUUUAUCGUGCUAUUUUUUUAAAUGAUACUUCGUUUUAGGUUUUGGUUUAAUUUUCAACGAUUGCAAAGUUGAAUAUUUGAUCAAUUUGCUACGUGAUUUAAAUAAAUUUUUCUUUUCUGUUUCAUGAAGCUAUACGUCAGUUUCAGUUUGUUCCUUUUUUGAUUUUAGAUAUAAAGCUUUCUUGAAAUGUGUGGGUCUAUAUGGGCAAUAUUUAUAUAUCGAUCUAGAUUAAAGUACACGUCAAAUAAGCUUUACGCAUAUUUAACAAGAGAAUAAAGAUAGACAGGGUAAAAAGUAAUGGAGUGGUGAAACAAAAUAUUCAUUUUCACUAUCAAGUCUUUGCAAUGUGAACUUGCAAUGCAGACUUUAAGCCAUUAAUGUGAACUUGGCAAUGCAGACUCACUGCAAGUAGGUUGUUUUGUAAGCUUAGAGCUUCUGUUUCAAAUUCUGAUAACAAGCCAAUUACUAUACCCACUCUAAAAAAAAGAGUCAUCUGAGAUGAUCUAUACUGAUAUUUCCCGUUUUGGCUCGGGAAUGCAAGUUCGAAUGUGUCAACCGCAGCUUAUAUCUUAGAAUUGUCUUGUUAUUUUUAUUGUCAAUGCAGCUUCUCCGUACCAACUUAUGGAUAGUCCUCAUCUCUGGCAAGAAUUGAGCAAAAUUUUUACUUUGCUUAUGGAUCUACCAAAUUCUUCAUGGCUAUUACAUAUUCGAAUUUUCUUAAAAAUUUUCUACGAUGAACUUUAAUUUUGAUCAAUGUUGGAAAUAACAAGAUCCACACAUUUCAGAAAAGUAUUAUACUUAGCAUCAGAAUGGAGAAGAAAGAGACAACGAAGUAAAAGGAGCGGUAGAAGAAAGGGGAAAUGGAAUUACAACAAACACAACUGAAAUAACCAAAUGAUUGGAAAUCAGCUUGAAAACCACCAAAACAUUUUCUCUUCUGAAGGAAUACCUAAUCAUAAUUAGCCGCUUUAAGUCUUUAUUCUAUUUCAUAGCAUUUAAUAUCACAACAUUCUAUAGAUAAUUCUUUCACUUGAACUUCAUAGUAAGCUUGCAGCCUUGCACCUAACAUUUGUUAGACAACUCAAGGCAUUUGAAUUUACACUUCGAGUGCAAAUCUCCUUUAGAGUUAUUAAUUGAUAAUUUUACUAUUCCAAAAGAGUACCGUAUGGACUGUCUGCUGUCUUCUAAAUUUUAUUCUUCUAAAUAUUGCAUAAUUUUAAAAUUAUGGAAUUGAAUUAUUUUUUGAAUUUGGUGGACUAUUGUAAAGUAUCAUCAUUCAAGAAAAUCCCUUUUUGUUGAUGAGUCUUGCUUCCGUGAUCCCUCUCAAUUUUUGCAGGAGGAGGAUGAAAGAAUAAAAAAGGAUGACAAGAACAAUUUGUGCAAUAAUGAAGAGGGCAUCGAUUUGGGGGGGG